This 253-nucleotide ribosomal RNA is filed under the name uncultured bacterium. RNAcentral's name for it is "partial 16S ribosomal RNA". It matches the Rfam family "Bacterial small subunit ribosomal RNA", at positions 524 to 776 of the family's 1533-position model. The record is from RNAcentral.
UACGUAGGGGGCAAGCGUUGUCCGGAUUUAUUGGGCGUAAAGCGCUCGCAGGUGGUUCGAUGCGUCGUGCGUGAAAGCCCCCGGCUCAACUGGGGAGUGUCGUGCGAUACGGUCGAACUGGAGGCCAGUAGGGGGAUGCGGAAUUCCGGGUGUAGUGGUGGAAUGCGUAGAGAUCCGGAGGAACACCAGCGGCGAAGGCGGCAUCCUGGACUGGUCCUGACACUCAGGUGCGAAAGCUAGGGUAGCGAACAGG